This 125-nucleotide small nucleolar RNA is filed under the name Castor canadensis (American beaver). The record is from RNAcentral. Lineage: Eukaryota; Metazoa; Chordata; Mammalia; Rodentia; Castoridae.
UUAGGAUCAAAGAUGCUGCUUUCCCUGAAACAACAGUUAAAAGACAGCCCAAAGUGACCAUUUUCUUGGGUGGCUACUCUUCUGUUAUCUGUAACUGGCUUAUGACAUUUUGGGAAAGAGGACUA